UGGGUAACCUGCCCCAAUGAUCGGGACAACCCGGGGAAAACCCGGAGCUAAUACCGAAUGUGCCCUCCGGCCAUCAGGUCGGUGUGUAAAGGAAGCUUCGGCCUCCGCAUUGGGAUGGGCCGCGGCCCAUUAGCUUGUUGGUGGGGUAAAGGCCCACCAAGGUUGCGACGGGUAGCUGGUCUGAGAGGAUGGCCAGCCACAUUGGGACUGAGACACGGCCCAGACUCCUACGGGAGGCAG
This 240-nucleotide ribosomal RNA is filed under the name uncultured bacterium. RNAcentral describes it as "partial 16S ribosomal RNA". It matches the Rfam family "Bacterial small subunit ribosomal RNA", at positions 118 to 351 of the family's 1533-position model. The record is from RNAcentral.